AAAUACUCCUGACUGACCGAUAGUGAACCAGUACCGUGAGGGAAAGGCGAAAAGAACCCCGGCGAGGGGAGUGAAAAAGAACCUGAAACCGUGUACGUACAAGCAGUGGGAGCCUCUUUUAUGGGGUGACUGCGUACCUUUUGUAUAAUGGGUCAGCGACUUAUAUUCUGUAGCAAGGUUAACCGAAUAGGGGAGCCGAAGGGAAACCGAGUCUUAACUGGGCGUUAAGUUGCAGGGUAUAGACCCGAAACCCGGUGAUCUAGCCAUGGGCAGGUUGAAGGUUGGGUAACACUAACUGGAGGACCGAACCGACUAAUGUUGAAAAAUUAGCGGAUGACUUGUGGCUGGGGGUGAAAGGCCAAUCAAACCGGGAGAUAGCUGGUUCUCCCCGAAAGCUAUUUAGGUAGCGCCUCGUGAAUUCAUCUCCGGGGGUAGAGCACUGUUUCGGCAAGGGGGUCAUCCCGACUUACCAACCCGAUGCAAACUGCGAAUACCGGAGAAUGUUAUCACGGGAGACACACGGCGGGUGCUAACGUCCGUCGUGAAGAGGGAAACAACCCAGACCGCCAGCUAAGGUCCCAAAGUCAUGGUUAAGUGGGAAACGAUGUGGGAAGGCCCAGACAGCCAGGAUGUUGGCUUAGAAGCAGCCAUCAUUUAAAGAAAGCGUAAUAGCUCACUGGUCGAGUCGGCCUGCGCGGAAGAUGUAACGGGGCUAAA
This 717-nucleotide ribosomal RNA is filed under the name Escherichia coli. RNAcentral's name for it is "partial 23S ribosomal RNA". It matches the Rfam family "Bacterial large subunit ribosomal RNA", at positions 468 to 1185 of the family's 2925-position model. The record is from RNAcentral. Lineage: Bacteria; Pseudomonadati; Pseudomonadota; Gammaproteobacteria; Enterobacterales; Enterobacteriaceae.